GCCUCCGUAGUGUAAUGGAUCAGCACGGUAGAACGGAUAUCUGUAAGUGCGGGUUCGAGUCCCGCCUGAGGUU
Dictyocaulus viviparus (bovine lungworm) is the source of this 73-nucleotide non-coding RNA. The record is from Rfam. NCBI's taxonomy places the organism in Eukaryota, Metazoa, Nematoda, Chromadorea, Rhabditida, Metastrongylidae.